Molecule: long non-coding RNA, 336 nt
Filed under: Vigna radiata
Lineage: Eukaryota; Viridiplantae; Streptophyta; Magnoliopsida; Fabales; Fabaceae
Description: long non-coding RNA (VRAD_LNC004867)
Source: RNAcentral
GGAACGAUGUAAUCUUUGUGAAACUCUCUUAUAUUGAAAAUCCUAUUUUAUUCAUAUACUUGUAUUAUCAACAGUUUGAGUUUUCUUCUCUGUACUUUAAAGUUUGCAUUGUUUAACUCAUUCAGUGUGAUGAUUUUUUAUUUUGUCGAUAUGGGGACGUACGGGGAAGUCUAGAACUGAGAAGAAUUAUCUUGAUUAUGAAAUAUUGCCUAGAGAUAGGAAUAAGACGAUCAAUUGCAUUAAGCUUCUGUCAUUAAUGCAUUAGUAAUUGUUAGGGAGACUAGAGAUGGUAAAGUAGUAAUUAAGAUAAUAGGCUCUUUUCGUCGAGAGAUCGGG